Molecule: ribosomal RNA, 465 nt
Filed under: Ischnocnema aff. guentheri 4 MG-2013
Lineage: Eukaryota; Metazoa; Chordata; Amphibia; Anura; Brachycephalidae
Description: partial 16S ribosomal RNA
Rfam family: Bacterial large subunit ribosomal RNA
Source: RNAcentral
GAGGUCCGACCUGCCCAGUGAUAUUAAUUCAACGGCCGCGGUAUUCUGACCGUGCUAAGGUAGCACAAUCACUUGUCUCUUAAAUGGGGACUAGUAUGAAAGGCCCCACGAGGGUCUAACUGUCUCCUUUUUUUAAUCUGUGAAACUAAUCUCCCCGUGAAGAAGCGGGGAUUAUUAUAUAAGACGAGAAGACCCUAUGGAGCUUUAGAUAAAACAAUAUAUUUCCCCCCCGUUCCCUGCUAUUUCAGAAAAUCAACUACCAAGGAAUUUUAUUGCUAGUCUUUGGUUGGGGCGGCCGCGGAGAAAAACUUAUCCUCCACGAUGAGUGGGAACUUCCCAUAAUAAAGAGCCACAGCUCAGUGUAUCAAAAAAUUGACAAUUGACCCAAUAUUUGAUCAACGAAACAAGUUACCCUAGGGAUAACAGCGCAAUCUACUUCAAGAGUACUUAUUGACGAGUGGGUUU